GGAGGCGAACCGGGGGAACUGAAACAUCUCAGUACCCCGAGGAAAAGAAAUCAACCGAGAUUCCCCCAGUAGCGGCGAGCGGACGGGGAGCAGCCCAGAGUCAGCAUCAAUAUUUACCGCAGGAGAAGGGUCUGGAAAGGCCGGCAAUAAAGGGUGAUAGCCCCGUAUUUGAAGCGGUAAGUGUUGUGAACUCGAAGAGUAGGGCGGGACACGUGUUAUCCUGUUUGAAUAUGGGGGGACCAUCCUCCAAGGCUAAAUACUCCUGACUGACCGAUAGUGAACCAGUACCGUGAGGGAAAGGCGAAAAGAACCCCGGCAAGGGGAGUGAAAUAGAACCUGAAACCGUGUACGUACAAGCAGUGGGAGCACCCGAAAGGGUGUGACUGCGUACCUUUUGUAUAAUGGGUCAGCGACUUAUAUUCUGUAGCAAGGUUAACCGCAUAGGGGAGCCGUAGGGAAACCGAGUCUUAACUGGGCGUUAAGUUGUAGGGUAUAGACCCGAAACCCGGUGAUCUAGCCAUGGGCAGGUUGAAG
This 534-nucleotide ribosomal RNA is filed under the name Arsenophonus endosymbiont of Bemisia tabaci. Its description in RNAcentral is "partial 23S ribosomal RNA". It matches the Rfam family "Bacterial large subunit ribosomal RNA", at positions 175 to 750 of the family's 2925-position model. The record is from RNAcentral. Lineage: Bacteria; Pseudomonadati; Pseudomonadota; Gammaproteobacteria; Enterobacterales; Morganellaceae.